RNAcentral lists this ribosomal RNA (538 nucleotides) under fungal endophyte. RNAcentral describes it as "eukaryotic LSU rRNA". It matches the Rfam family "Eukaryotic large subunit ribosomal RNA", at positions 51 to 600 of the family's 3401-position model. Lineage: Eukaryota; Fungi. The record is from RNAcentral.
CGGAGGAAAAGAAACCAACAGGGAUUGCCCCAGUAACGGCGAGUGAAGCGGCAACAGCUCAAAUUUGAAAUCUGGCUCUCGGGCCCGAGUUGUAAUUUGUAGAGGAUGCUUUUGGUGAGGUGCCUUCCGAGUUCCCUGGAACGGGACGCCAUAGAGGGUGAGAGCCCCGUCUGGUUGGACACCGAUCCUCUGUAAAGCUCCUUCGACGAGUCGAGUAGUUUGGGAAUGCUGCUCUAAAUGGGAGGUAUAUGUCUUCUAAAGCUAAAUACCGGCCAGAGACCGAUAGCGCACAAGUAGAGUGAUCGAAAGAUGAAAAGAACUUUGAAAAGAGAGUUAAACAGUACGUGAAAUUGUUGAAAGGGAAGCGCUUGUGACCAGACUUGGGCUUGGUUGAUCAUCCGGGGUUCUCCCCGGUGCACUCUUCCGGCUCAGGCCAGCAUCAGUUCGCCCUGGGGGAUAAAGGCUUCGGGAAUGUGGCUCUCUCCGGGGAGUGUUAUAGCCCGCUGCGUAAUACCCUGUGGCGGACUGAGGUUCGCGC